This is a long non-coding RNA of Telopea speciosissima, 326 nucleotides long. RefSeq lists it as uncharacterized. The transcript is spliced from 3 exons. Lineage: Eukaryota; Viridiplantae; Streptophyta; Magnoliopsida; Proteales; Proteaceae. The record is from RefSeq and is a predicted model, not a curated record.
UUCAGAAAAACUCGACCAACUUACAUUUAUCCACCUAAGAAACUGCAAUUGCAUCCAUCUUCCAGACCUUGGAAAACUCCCUUCCCUCAAGUCAUUGUACAUACAUGAAAUGCAUCGCUUGAAAGCGAUAAACCCUUAUAUGUUGGGUGUUUUCCCAAGUUUAGAAGUGCUAGAAAUCAAUGGAAUGCCUUGCUUGAAUAUGUGGACACCAAUAGAGAAAUCUAGCAUGCCUUCGCUUCGUGAGCUUACAAUCAUCGACUGCCCAAAUGUGGUCAAACUUCCAAAGUUCAACAACCUCAUAUAUCUAAAGCAUUUGAGAAUUACAC